AAUGACAAUUCUAAUAUGACGUCCUUAUUAUGCUUUGUAAACAAAGCCGUGUUCUAAUGAGCACAAAAUAUGUUUGACACAUGCGCACGAACUUACUGUUUAUAUUAACGUUAUUUCCAUCGUUAUCCUUUAAAAUAUAUACAUUUAAGCAGUUAACAUAAACUUUUAUUAUAUUUUUUUAUGAAACAACAUAUAUUUACCCUGCUCGUAGCUUUUAAACUUAUCAAAUAUGAAAUACAAUGCACAGACUCCUCCAGGAGGAAACGGGAACA
This 272-nucleotide long non-coding RNA is filed under the name Mytilus galloprovincialis (Mediterranean mussel). Lineage: Eukaryota; Metazoa; Mollusca; Bivalvia; Mytilida; Mytilidae. The record is from RNAcentral.